Long non-coding RNA from Pygocentrus nattereri (red-bellied piranha), 325 nucleotides. RefSeq lists it as uncharacterized. The record is from RefSeq and is a predicted model, not a curated record. The transcript is spliced from 3 exons. Lineage: Eukaryota; Metazoa; Chordata; Actinopteri; Characiformes; Serrasalmidae.
CCAACUAGCCAACCUUAGCUGCUUGAUAAUGAAUCAGUACUUCAACAUUUAUAAGGACGAACAGUCAUGGGAAUUCCUUACACAGUCUACACCUGAUAAGUAACUUCUCAGAAAACGAAAGUGAUGCAUAGAUGGGUGACAAAGGACAAAACAGCAGCGGGUUAGUAAGGUGUUGGACUACCAAGAACCACCAGAACAGCACCAGUGCGCCUUGGCAGUGUGUGGAACUUUGCUGGAGGCCUCUGAGAACAAGGUGCGCUGAGGAAGGAGGCAGAGAAGAGUGAGAGAACGAGGAAAAAACAGAGAAAAGAAGAAGAUACUGAAG